UAUAUUAAGAGUUUGAUCCUAGCUCAGGAUGAACGCUGGCGGCGUGGAUAAGGCAUGCAAGUCAAGCGGCCGCACUACAUUGCAUUUCGUGCAGCAUACUCUAAUUAAUCUCGAAUUUGGCCGAGAAUACUCGGCCUCCCCAAUCAGUCUCGAAUACGGAAUUCGAGACAAUUAGGGACAAAAUUAGGGAAUGAUUAGAGAAUAAGCGCACGGAGCGCAGCGUAGUGCGGCAGCGGCAGACGAGGUAGUAAUAAGUAGGAAUGUCCCCCGAAGUCAGGAAUAGCCAGUCGAAAGAUUGGGUAAUACCUGAUGGUCUGACCGCAUCACAUGGAAUGUGAAUUAAGUUUAUCAAGUUCAUAAAGUUGCAAGUUUAUAAAGUAAGACCGAUGCCGGAUUUUAGAGGCUCGCUUUUCUUACUUGAUGAACUUUAUAACUUUUUACUUUAUAAACUGAUUUCGCGUCUCAUGUGAUGCGGUUAGUAAAGUCGUAAGACGCUUUGGGAACAGCCUACUCGGUAUCAGCUAGAUGGUAGGGUAACGGCCUACCAUGGCUAUGACGCCUAGGGGAGGUGAGAGCCUGACCCCCACCGAUCGCACUGAGAUUCGGGCGAUACAUCUACGGUUGGCCGCAGUCGAGAUUCUUCCGCAAUGGGCGAUAGCCUGACGUAGCGACGCAGCGUGAUGGUUGAAGUUCUUAGGAAUGUAAA
RNAcentral lists this ribosomal RNA (706 nucleotides) under bacterium. RNAcentral describes it as "bacterial SSU rRNA". It matches the Rfam family "Bacterial small subunit ribosomal RNA", at positions 1 to 429 of the family's 1533-position model. The record is from RNAcentral.